GUCCUUAGUUACCAGCACGUUAUGGUGGGCACUCUAAGGAGACUGCCGGUGACAACCGGAGGAAGGUGGGAUGACGUCAAGUCAUCACUGGCCCUUACGGGCCUGGGCUACACACGUGCUACAAUGGUCGGUACAAAGGGUUGCCAAGCCGCGGAGGUGGAGCUAAUCCCAUAAACCGAUCGUAGUCCGGAUCGCAGUCUGCAACUCGACUGCGUGAAGUCGGAAUCGCUAGUAAUCGUGAAUCAGAAUGUCACGGUGAAUACGUUCCCGGGCCUU
RNAcentral lists this ribosomal RNA (276 nucleotides) under uncultured Pseudomonas sp. RNAcentral describes it as "partial 16S ribosomal RNA". It matches the Rfam family "Bacterial small subunit ribosomal RNA", at positions 1107 to 1382 of the family's 1533-position model. Lineage: Bacteria; Pseudomonadati; Pseudomonadota; Gammaproteobacteria; Pseudomonadales; Pseudomonadaceae. The record is from RNAcentral.